RNAcentral lists this ribosomal RNA (438 nucleotides) under uncultured bacterium. RNAcentral's name for it is "bacterial SSU rRNA". It matches the Rfam family "Bacterial small subunit ribosomal RNA", at positions 69 to 507 of the family's 1533-position model. The record is from RNAcentral.
GUAACAGGUCUUUCGGGAUGCUGACGAGUGGCGAACGGGUGAGUAAUACAUCGAAACGUGCCUAGUAGGGGGGGAUAACUACUCAAAAGAGUGGCUAAUACCGCAUGAAAUCUAUGGAUGAAAGCAGGGGACCUUCGGGCCUUGUGCUACUAGAGCGGCCGAUGGCAAAUUAGGUAGUUGGGGGGAUAAAAGCUUACCGAGCCUACAAUCUGUAGCUGGUCUGAAAGGACAAUCAGCCACACUGGGACUGAAACACGGCCCAAACUCCUACGGGAGGCAGCAGUGGGGAAUUUUGGUCAAUGGACAAGAGUCUGAACCAGCCAAGUAGCGUGCAGGAUGACGGCCCUAUGGGUUGUAAACUGCUUUUAUAAGGAAAUAAAGUGAGUCUCGUGAGACUUUUUGCAUGUACCUUAUGAAUAAGGACCGGCUAAUUCCGUG